GACGAACGCCGGCGGCGUGCUUAACACAUGCAAGUCGAACGAGACGAUUGAAAGCUUGCUUUUGAAAGUCGAGUGGCAAACGGGUGAGUAACGCGUAGACAACCUGCCUUUGAGAUGUGGACAACAGUUCGAAAGGACUGCUAAUACCGAAUGUUGUAUAUUUUCCACAUGGAAGAUAUAUUAAAGAUGGCCUCUAUUUAUAAGCUAUCGCUCAAAGAUGGGUCUGCGUCUGAUUAGCUGGUUGGUGGGGUAACGGCCUACCAAGGCGACGAUCAGUGGCCGGUCUGAGAGGAUGAACGGCCACCUUGGGACUGAGACACGGCCCAGACCCCUACGGGAGGCAGCAGUGGGGAAUCUUCCACAAUGGACGAAAGUCUGAUGGAGCAACGCCGCGUGAGUGAAGAAGGGUUUCGGCUCGUAAAGCUCUGUUGUCGGGGACGAAUGUGCAGUAUUUGAAUAAAGUACUGCAAUGACGGUACCUGACGAGGAAGCCACGGCUAACUACGUGCCAGCCGCCGCAGUAA
This 524-nucleotide ribosomal RNA is filed under the name uncultured bacterium. RNAcentral's name for it is "partial 16S ribosomal RNA". It matches the Rfam family "Bacterial small subunit ribosomal RNA", at positions 28 to 523 of the family's 1533-position model. The record is from RNAcentral.